RNAcentral lists this ribosomal RNA (492 nucleotides) under uncultured bacterium. RNAcentral describes it as "partial 16S ribosomal RNA". It matches the Rfam family "Bacterial small subunit ribosomal RNA", at positions 29 to 507 of the family's 1533-position model. The record is from RNAcentral.
AGUGAACGCUGGCGGUAGGCCUAACACAUGCAAGUCGAACGGCAGCACAGUAAGAGCUUGCUCUUACGGGUGGCGAGUGGCGGACGGGUGAGGAAUACAUCGGAAUCUACUUUUUCGUGGGGGAUAACGUAGGGAAACUUACGCUAAUACCGCAUACGACCUACGGGUGAAAGCAGGGGAUCUUCGGACCUUGCGCGAUUGAAUGAGCCGAUGUCGGAUUAGCUAGUUGGCGGGGUAAAGGCCCACCAAGGCGACGAUCCGUAGCUGGUGUGAGAGGAUGAUCAGCCACACUGGAACUGAGACACGGCCCAGACUCCUACGGGAGGCAGCAGUGGGGAAUAUUGGACAAUGGGCGCAAGCCUGAUCCAGCCAUACCGCGUGGGUGAAGAAGGCCUUCGGGUUGUAAAGCCCUUUUGUUGGGAAAGAAAAGCAGCAGGUUAAUACCCCGCUGUUCUGACGGUACCCAAAGAAUAAGCACCGGCUAACUUCGUG